This 23-nucleotide non-coding RNA is filed under the name Arabidopsis thaliana (thale cress). The record is from RNAcentral. Lineage: Eukaryota; Viridiplantae; Streptophyta; Magnoliopsida; Brassicales; Brassicaceae.
GUUUUGGGUGCGGUGUAUAUCAC